Long non-coding RNA from Gavialis gangeticus (Gharial), 1310 nucleotides. RefSeq lists it as uncharacterized. The record is from RefSeq and is a predicted model, not a curated record. The transcript has 2 exons. NCBI's taxonomy places the organism in Eukaryota, Metazoa, Chordata, Crocodylia, Gavialidae.
GGGUGCACUGGCGCACUUGGGAGGUGCACGUGCACCCCCUACCCGUCAUCACUUCCCACUUUAUACAUGGGAAGACUAAGGUAGAAAAUUAGUGCCUUGGGCAAGGCUGUAGUAGGAAUCAAGUGUCAGGGCUGGGGAUGAAAUAGCAGGAAACACUUCAUAGAAUAAGUACAGGACUGAUAGCCAAGUUGUAUGUCAAAUUGCUGAAUUGCCUUGCUUGUAACAGUGACAUUGGCUGCUUAGAGAAGCUGGCUCAGCUACAGCUUAAUAAACUAGAAAAUUAUUGUUGGAAGCUCAAUUAAAAUUAGUUGCAGCUGGAUGGCAGCGCCCUUCAUCACCACAUAUUUGUGAAGCUCCUACUUAUGUUCAUGAUUUUCCCUUGAAAAGGGAAUAUGGAGAACUGGUGACCUCUCAGAGGUAUCAGUGGCAAACUUCAACUGCUGUGAUGAACAUAUAUGUUUAAAGGGAGAUUGGCAAAGAAAAGUGGCUGAAAGUUACUCUGCCUCCCUUUAUUUUCAAGUUUCAUAAGAACUCAGCUCUGUUUCCAUUGUGGUAUGAAAUUGUACUUUAUUGAAUGUAGAAAUGGUUGAAGCUGAACUUUUCAAUGUCCUAUGAGAAGCUAGUUACCUCAGAAUUUUCUCAUGGGCCUUGAAAAGGAAACAGAAUUGUAUCAAUUGGACUUCAUCUGCAUUUGUGUUGCUUGGAUGUACGACACCUUAAAGUGUUAAAUCUUUUUCACUGCAACACCCUUGGUUAUAUAGUAUAUUGUUCUCUGACUGUCACCCAGCAAAAAAAAAAGCAUUACCUUCAGGUUGGGUAGUAGGCCACCAAUUGAACUGCGCAGAAAAAUAAUCCUCCAAGGACUAGAUUGUUAAUAAGGAUAAUUUUAGUUAGCUUUCUAUCAGUUAAACCAUCUUUCUUGAAAGAAAGAAAGAAAAGAAAAAUACAGUUUUUGUACAUGUAUAUAUUUAAUAAGGAUAGUCUUGCUUUGAGGAGAACCAAAAUACUGGAAAAGUUGGCAUGUGUAAAUGGACCAUUAGAACAAUUCCAAAUAAUCCAGUUUCUGGACUGGGAAUCUUCCACUGUGGUUUCUGUGUAGGCCUAUGACAGGGUAUGCAACUUCAGGGUACAGUAAGCCUCAAUAUUUGCAUUCUUCCAUAUGUGUUUAAAAAAACAAACUGCAGUGGAGUGCUUUACAUACUGUACUCUAACGUGGAUAUGCUGUAGUGGCAAGUACAAACAAUAGAGCUGUCUCACACAUCUUGAUACCAAAGGAAUUUGCAGAAAAUUAAAAAAAAAAAACCCAAACA